Long non-coding RNA from Perognathus longimembris pacificus (Pacific pocket mouse), 144 nucleotides. RefSeq lists it as uncharacterized. The transcript is spliced from 3 exons. Lineage: Eukaryota; Metazoa; Chordata; Mammalia; Rodentia; Heteromyidae. The record is from RefSeq and is a predicted model, not a curated record.
UUUGUCUGUCUUUGAGGAGGUAUUAGAGGAGACACAGAAAUUGAGGGACAAAAGGCAGAUGAAUGUAGCAAUGGUACUCACUGGACACUAUGUUGAAAAUGAACUAUACAACCUGUGGGUGGGAUCAGAGGGAAAAACUGGGAG